GGCCCUACGGGGCGCAGCAGGCGCGAAAACUUUACCAUGCGGGCAACCGUGAUAAGGAAACCCCGAGUGCCAGCACAGGCUGGCUGUCCGCCAGUUUAAAUAACUGGUGAAGAAAGGGCCGGGCAAGACCGGUGCCAGCCGCCGCGGUAAUACCGGCGGCUCGAGUGGUGGCCGCUAUUACUGGGCUUAAAGGGUCCGUAGCUUGAUAACUGGGUCCCUUGAGAAAUCCGCCAGCUCAACUGGCGGGCGUUCAGGGGAAACUUGUUUUCUAGGGACCGGGAGAGGUGAGGGGUACUGCCGGGGUAGGAGUGAAAUCCUGUAAUCCCGGUGGGACCACCUAUGGCGAAGGCAUCUCACCAGAACGGGUCCGACAGUGAGGGACGAAAGCUGGGGGAGCAAACCGGAUUAGAUACCCGGGUAGUCCCAGCUGUAAACUAUGUGCGUUAGGUGUGUCAGUGACCACGUGUCACUGAGGUGCCGAAGGGAAACCGUGAAACGCACCGCCUGGGGAGUACGGUCGCAAGGCUGAAACUUAAAGGAAUUGGCGGGGGAGCACCACAACGGGUGGUGCCUGCGGUUUAAUCGGACUC
RNAcentral lists this ribosomal RNA (590 nucleotides) under uncultured archaeon. Its description in RNAcentral is "bacterial SSU rRNA". It matches the Rfam family "Archaeal small subunit ribosomal RNA", at positions 319 to 913 of the family's 1478-position model. The record is from RNAcentral.